AGUCCAAAACUGAUUAUUUACAUGGCAAAACACCAAUCAGCGUAGAAGUUCAGAAGUUCAGCUUUUAUUUCUUCGUUUCCUUCAUCACAACUACCUCUCCCAACAAAGAACUAAUCCCAAAACCUAACAUCGACAUCUUCAGCUUCCAAACGUAAAUCAGAGAAUCAAACAAACACUCGAUUCAAUUGAGUAAUAAGCCUAAAACGUUAUCAUCAGUUCUUUAUCAUGAACAUUCACUUGAAAUUGAGGAGAAAAGUUGGUGAGAUUGAAUUUCAGAUUAAUUUGUGGAUUCAUCGUUAAAAUCGAUUUGAAAGGGAGCGAAGAGAAAAUCGAUAAAUCUAAUUGGCGUCCUAAAUCAGGAGGAUACUAUAGAGGUGGUUAUUCAGAUCAGGAGCUUAUGAUUCCACCUACCUCUUCGUCUUCUUUCAGUGGAAAUCUAAAUCGACCUAACUCUAGCGGCAGUCGACCUAAUUAUAGGGGAAUCGACCUGAUUCGGGUGGAUGGUCAAUAUGGGACACAUGGGUAUCCUGGGAGACAAAAAAACUAUAGGGAUCUUCUUCAUGGAUCAAAAUAUGCUCUGUAUAUGAGGAUAAGGAUGGUGAUUGGAUGCAAGUGGGAGAUAUCUCGUGGGAGUACUUUUCAAGAGAGCUUAAGAAAGUGGAGAAGACAAAUGGACAAGUCUUGUAGAUGGACGCUUUUCUGGAAUUUCUGAUUUUAAUAGCAUGCUUGCUAUGUGUUUAGGCACUUGCUAUAUGUUAGAUUUUAAUCGCAUGCUUGUUAGUGCUUAGGUGGACGAUUCAAGAUGUAUGUGGUGUACAAACUGGUGUACCUUUUCUUGUCUUUGGAUUUUGUGGAUGUGUACAUGUGUAAACUAAGAUUUUUAAAAAUUGAAAAUUAUAUAGUCA
Long non-coding RNA from Papaver somniferum (opium poppy), 905 nucleotides. RefSeq lists it as uncharacterized. The transcript has 4 exons. NCBI's taxonomy places the organism in Eukaryota, Viridiplantae, Streptophyta, Magnoliopsida, Ranunculales, Papaveraceae. The record is from RefSeq and is a predicted model, not a curated record.